UGAAGCAGGGGCCCCGCAUGGGGAUAUUUGCUAAAGAUUCAUCGCUGAUAGAUAGGCAUGCGUUCCAUUAGGCAGUUGGCGGGGUAACGGCCCACCAAACCGACGAUGGAUAGGGGUUCUGAGAGGAAGGUCCCCCACAUUGGUACUGAGACACGGACCAAACUCCUACGGGAGGCAGCAGUGAGGAAUAUUGGUCAAUGGGCGUAAGCCUGAACCAGCCAAGUCGCGUGAGGGAUGAAGGUUCUAUGGAUCGUAAACCUCUUUUAUAAGGGAAUAAAGUGCGGGACGUGUCCCGUUUUGUAUGUACCUUAUGAAUAAGGAUCGGCUAACUCCGUGCCAGCAGCCGCGGUAAUACGGAGGAUCCGAGCGUUAUCCGGAUUUAUUGGGUUUAAAGGGUGCGUAGGCGGCCUUUUAAGUCAGCGGUGAAAGUCUGUGGCUCAACCAUAGAAUUGCCGUUGAAACUGGGGGGCUUGAGUAUGUUUGAGGCAGGCGGAAUGCGUGGUGUAGCGGUGAAAUGCUUAGAUAUCACGCAGAACCCCGAUUGCGAAGGCAGCCUGCCAAGCCAUGACUGACGCUGAUGCACGAAAGCGUGGGGAUCAAACAGGAUUAGAUACCCUGGUAGUCCACGCAGUAAACGAUGAUCACUAGCUGUUUGCGAUACACUGUAAGCGGCACAGCGAAAGCGUUAAGUGAUCCACCUGGGGAGUACGCCGGCAACGGUGAAACUCAAAGGAAUUGACGGGGGCCCGCACAAGCGGAGGAACAUGUGGUUUAAUUCGAUGAUACGCGAGGAACCUUACCCGGGUUUGAACGCAUUCGGACCGAGGUGGAAACACCUUUUCUAGCAAUAGCCGUUUGCGAGGUGCUGCAUGGUUGUCGUCAGCUCGUGCCGUGAGGUGUCGGCUUAAGUGCCAUAACGAGCGCAACCCUUGCCACUAGUUACUAACAGGUGAUGCUGAGGACUCUGGUGGGACUGCCAGCGUAAGCUGCGAGGAAGGCGGGGAUGACGUCAAAUCAGCACGGCCCUUACAUCCGGGGCGACACACGUGUUACAAUGGCGUGGACAAAGGGAUGCCACCUGGCGACAGGGAGCGAAUCCCCAAACCACGUCUCAGUUCGGAUCGGGAGUCUGCAACCCGACUCCGUGAAGCUGGAUUCGCUAGUAAUCGCGCAUCAGCCAUGGCGCGGUGAAUACGUUCCCGGGCCUUGUA
RNAcentral lists this ribosomal RNA (1211 nucleotides) under Parabacteroides distasonis. Its description in RNAcentral is "bacterial SSU rRNA". It matches the Rfam family "Bacterial small subunit ribosomal RNA", at positions 173 to 1385 of the family's 1533-position model. The record is from RNAcentral. Lineage: Bacteria; Pseudomonadati; Bacteroidota; Bacteroidia; Bacteroidales; Tannerellaceae.